AGGCCUUAAAAUAAUUUUUCAUAAUUUAUUAUGUAUUUUUAAUAAUUAAAAAUUAUUUAAUACUAAUUAUUUAAUAAAAUACUAAUUUUAUAAUUAAUCUACCGCUAAAGGGCCCUAUAGCGAUAAAACUGUCGCUAUAGGUGUUCUUAGGCUGUUCUUGACCAAACCCAGAUUUCAUGUCAGUUUAUCGGAUGCCUACUUUGACCAUAUUUUGAUCUGUGAUCCUAAGGUUUUCUUGGCUGCUUGAUGUUAUAAACAUGUAGUAUUAAUGUAAUACUACAAUAAAUACCUAAGUUAAGAUCCAUACAACAAAACAUCAGAGAGAUCAAAGCCUCCCAAUAUUCUGACAACGGUGUUCUUGAGUUUCUGGGUUUUCCAGAAACUCGAGCAGUGUGAGGGUCCUUACUUUGCAUCCUUAUAUCUUCAAUUCUAGGAAUGUUUUAUGUGAUCUAUGAAUUCAAAAGUGCAUUAGAGGUCAGGGUACAAUAACAUGCUAUCCAUUCAGUCUAACAUCAUAACAAAUGCAAGAUCCAUGCUAGUCAAACUAUGUCAGAAAUUUCGGCUGAUGAAGAUCUGGGUUUUCCAGAAAACCUUCAUGAGCCAUUUAGGUCAACCUAGUUUGACCAUGAUUAUAUAAGAUUCUGUUACGGAUAUGGGUGAUCUAAAAGCUUUAGUGUGUAGUUAACAUGUCAGGCUGCAAGUAUAUAACAACAACAUGGCCCAAACACUUAACAGUUGCAAGAUCAAGCGCCUGCAAAGUCGUUGUCAGAGAUUUCUGGGUUUCUGGGUUACCCAGAAACCAGAUCUUGUGCUCGGUCAACGCAGUUUGACUGCUAAUAACUUUUAAUCUAUACAUGAUCUGGGCUUGAUUCAAGUUCCAGAUCAAAGAUCUUACAACAUACUACAAGUACAACCAUUUAACCAACCAAAAAUAUAAACAGGUAAAGAUCUAUGGGGUCUGACAUUCGGUUGUCAGACCACAUUUUUUCUGUUUUCCAGAUUUUUGAAAUCUUUAAUUUCGAGCAUCUAAGUGUUAUGGAUCUGUGAUAUUACAACCCAGAUCACUAAUAUAUACUACACAUUUAAACAUAAAAUCACAACAUCAAACAUCAGAUCUAAGGAUUUCUAGAAUUAGGGUUUAUACCUCAUGAAUGCUAUAUUUUUGAAUCUGAUCCUUGAUGUUUGAUCCUGUGAAGCUAACACAUGAUCUUGGCUUAGCUUAUUACUCACUCUCACUCUAAAAUUUCGGAUGAGAGAGAGAGAGAAGGGUUGGCUAGGUUGAGAAAUAAAGUGUUUAACUUUUCUAUACUUAAUGCCUUUAAUCCAUGUUGCAAUGUAUUUAACCUAGCAAGUUGGCUUAUUAAAAUGAUUACUAGACCACAUGGCUAGCUAGAGUUGGUCACCAACUCCUUACUAGGGCUAGAUCUACACUCCACCUCAUUAAAAUAUAAAGAAGGGUAGUUUGGUCUUUUGACUCAUAAAGUGCAUGACAACUUGGUAACUUCUCAUAAUUAUUAGGUUUUAACCCUUAGGGUUUGACCCUUAGGGUUUAACCCUAAGAUUACACAAAUUUAUAUUCUAGACUUUUCUAAUUAGGUUCUAAAAUUAGAAAAUUAUAAUUAGGGUUCCCUAAUUAUAAUAAAGUUUACUAAUCACAUUCAAGCUUGCUAAUUAGGGUUAAGGCGUCCUAAUUAACAUUAAACUCUAUAAAUUAAUAAUUAGGUUUUCUCUAAUUGUACAUUAGGGUUUCCAACAUUAGAAAUAGGACUUUCUAAUUAAUCAAUUAGGGUUAUCCCUAAUUAUACUUACAAUUAAUAACAUAAAAACUUUAUACUUAUCUUCAAGCUUCCCAAUUAGGGUUUUAAUAUUCCAAAUUAGGGUUACGGAUUCCCAGAACUGAAAUUAGGGUUUCCAUAGCUUGUAAUAUGGUUUCUUAUCAGUCGUUAGGGUUUUCUAACUGAACGUCGAGGCUUUUAGUAUAUUAUUAGGUUUUGUGACUGAUAUAAUUUAUCCGGUCAACCCUUGACCCUUAACCACAUACUUUACACAUAUAUAACCAUAUACAGAGAUACUUUUAACACUGUAAACCUUCACCAAAAGUUUUUAAAUUCAUAAAAUUCAUUCCUAAACAUGUUAAAUACAUACACUUAUUUUCUGUCUAGGUCUAUUAUUUAACCUCUAUUCAAUCUUUUAAGAUUUUAUAAAAUUGUCUAAAUUCUCGGGUUGUCACAUUCACCCUUCUUCUAAUAAUUUCGUCCCUGAAAUUCAACUUACACCUCAUACCUUGCAUACACAACAUCACAUUCUACCCAAUACAUCACUGACAAGAGAAAAAAAAUUUCAAAUUGUGCUGAGGAGUCAUAUAGACUAUUUGUCUGUCAUUUUCGCAAAGGUUUUAUGGAAAUUCAUCCGCAAACCGUCAUAACUUACGGACACAAAGGGUGAUUAGCCCGAUAUGCCCUGUACUGGCCAAGUACUGUUGGUUGGAACAAGUUUUCCCCGUUCUUCUAUUCCAUCCGCCUCAGGCGCACAAAAUUUCUUACCUCAGUCUUUUUAGAUUCCGCACCAAAAUAAUUUGGUUCGGGAAAUUUCUUUCAAUGAACACUUAGAAUUUUUAUAAACAUUAGUCUAGCUGAAUCUAAUAGCAUAGACUCAUAUCAAUAAUUUAAUUCAAUCGAAUUAUUUACGUGUAGCCAAACCCCGUUGGCAAAUUAAAAUUUUUGAAAAUAUUUUUGAGAAUGACGUCAUGAUGUCGUACUAUAUUAAUAGUCCGUUUGAGGAUGCCAUCAUUGUACGACUUUCUCAUAACACAUCAUACAAUAGUGGAACAAUGAUUUUUAAAUCGAAUUCACACCAAGUAUUCCUGUAUUUACAACUCCAUCAACUUUUUAUCAUCUCUGCACCAGGUUACAUGGUACAUGAGUGAUAAAUAAAAUAUAUUUUGACAUUUUAAAUCAUUUGCGUCUAGCCGAAAUAAGUAGCAUAGACUAUACUUUUAAUCGUUUCAAAAAUGAUUACGAGUCUACAUUUUUUUAAAGAGCACAUAGUGCGUAUUUAGCUUGAUGUCAACAUUUCGAAGUCUAGCAUAGCUAUGAGUUUUGGAAAACUUAUAUCUCCACUAAUAAUCAUUUUCUUAAAUAGUCUAUUUAUUCCUAUUAUCCUCAAUACUCCAUUCACACUUAGUUCUACCAAGUUCGUCAAACUUACCACACUUAUGAGUUCAGGAACUUUCCACAAUCAUAUGAGUUUAAGAACUUGUCCUAGUCAGACCUUUAAUGUCCAUUCGCUGAGGGGUUCAUAAACAUUUCAUAUAACCAUGAGUCACAAACGUAACAUAAAUAUGAGUUUUAAGAACUCGUACUUAACCUUAUAUCCUCUACCUAUAACCUAUCUAUCUGUUAUACACACGAGAAAGGAAUCACCCUCUCAACAUGCAUUUAGCAAAUAGCACGACAUAAACAUUUCAUAAUCCCUUCAUAAUCUUAACUCUCUUCUCAAUACGAAUUUUUAUUCAAUUCGUAUUUAUAAUCCUUUCCUGAAUCUGUACUAAUUCAUAGUACAACAUACACACGACAUUCUUGUCGUAAAUUUUUCAAUCAUUCGCUUGAUCCUUCUCCAUACUAUAACCUUAUUAGAUCACGGGGUGAUCUCAUCGUAUAUAUUAUGAUUCAUUUCUAUGCUAUGAUCGUUUUGUUUUACAAUCUCCUAUCACUGUACUUUCAGUCUUUUAGACUCUAUCUAUUCAUUACUACUGUUCACCUUUAUUAUUAGAGUUAGGAAACUCUGUGUCUUUAUAAUUCGCCGAGAUUCGUCUUUGAAUCUUACCGACACACUGACUCUAUGUGAGUUAGAUCUUAUCCUAAUCACUGCGGUUAUUAGUCUAAGGUAGCUCUACCAUAGGUUUAUAGCCAACAACUUUGAUACCAAAUGUAGCGCCCCCAAAUCCAUGGUCCUAAAUCACCACGGAUCUGGUACACUAGUUCUAACUAUUGCAGAAAAUAUAAACAUAAAUUAUUUAUACAUUAAAUAUCAUACACUAUCCCCAAGGUCGAGUAACCAUAACUUAUACACAAUUUCAUACCUAUCUAACAUACAAAUAAAUUACUUUUACAAAUCUAGCUGCACACACAGUCCCAAGCUGAGCUUGGCUUUAUCUUUUCCUUGUAUCGACGCAUUCGCCUUAAUCUGCAAUGUUUUAUCAUGAUAUAACAAGGGUGAGCAUGAAAGUUGUCCAGCAGGUUUAAAUUAUAUUUAAGGAUAUAUCAUGAUUGAAAGAGUCUGAAUAAUAAGCUGGCUAUAAUUCAUCAAUAUAAUUGAGAACUAGCACGAACAAACUUUUGACUGAACAAGUAUUAAACAUGAACAAAUAUAUCUGAAGCAAAUGGUAACGAAGGUGAUCAGCCUUUCAUACCUGACUUAUACAUAUAAUAUGUACAGAGUACAAUUCUACAUGGCAAUCAGCAAUGAUUAACCAUAAGCAUAUCUAAAUGAAUCAACUCUUAGUAGAGUUAAGAAAAACACUUGCCUGUACCGUUGAUUACCGUUAUGAAAUAUAACUUAGCUUUAUCUGAAGACCUAAUAUAGAUAAUACUGAUCUCCAAAUAUUAGAAUAAUAUUAUGACAGUAUAAAAUAAUCUAAACACAUUAUCACAUAAUCCUAUCAGUCUAUACAUCACAUAAGACUUGGUAUCAGGUCAAACUAUUUCAGUCUGACUUGAAUCCGACACAAUUUUAACAUCCCGACGGUCUAGUUGGACAAUUAUCGAGUUUAAGUUUAAUUAAACUCUACCUAACACUUAACAAUUAUCUUAGGUAAUUUAUUAAUCAGUCAAAAUAAUUUUCAUAGACCCAUAAUAAUUUUCAGAUAAUUAUUAUCCUUUAUUAUGUUUUUACAAUCAAUAAUAUCAUAUUUAUAUGCAUUAAAUACUACUUAAUUCCGUUAUCAUCAAUAUUAAUUUAAUAUUAAAUAUCAAUAAAAAUCAUAGCAUAAUAUUAUAAUAUAUUUAUAAUAUCUCAAAGUAUUUUUAAUACUUUAAAAUCAUAUUUAUAUGAUUUUUAAAUAGCUAAAUUCAUUAUCCGAUAAUUGAUAUUAAAAUAUUAAUAUUUUCAUGACUAAAUAUAAAAAUUUAUAUUUUAUAACUUCAAAUAUUUUUAUAAUACUUAAAUUAUUUUUAUAUAAUUUUUAAAGCAUUAAUUCUAUUUUUCCAUAAUUUAUUUAAUACAUUUAUCAAAUAAAUUAAUUACCAUUAAUAAUAAUAUAUUAAUGAAAUUCAUCACAAAAUAUUAAAAGUCAUUAAAAAUAAAUUAAAAUAUUUUCUUAUUCCAUAAUAUAAUUUUUCACGAAUUAAAACCAUUUUUAAAUAAUUUUUUUAAUAAUAUAAUUAAAUAAAUAAAUACCUUUUAUAUUCCAAAAAUAUUAAAUAUUUUUGAAAUAUACUCAAAAUAAUUAAAAACUAAUUUUCAGGCUUUAAAAUAAUUUUUCAUAAUUUAUUAUGUAUUUUUAAUAAUUAAAAACUAAUUUUCAGGCUUUAAAAUAAUUUUUCAUAAUUUAUUAUGUAUUUUUAAUAAUUAAAAACUAUUUAAUACUAAUUAUUUAAUAAAAUACUAAUUUUAUAAUUAAUCUAUCGCUAAAGGGCCCUAUAGCGAUAAAACUGUCGCUAUAGGUGUUCUUGGGCUGUUCUUGACCAAACCCAGAUUUCAUGUCAGUUUAUCGGAUGCCUACUUUGACCAUAUUUUGAUCUGUGAUCCUAAGGUUUUCUUGGCUGCUUGAUGUUAUAAACAUGUAGUAUUAAUGUAAUACUACAAUAAAUACCUAAGUUAAGAUCCAUACAACAAAACAUCAGAGAGAUCAAAGCCUCCCAAUAUUCUGACAACGGUGUUCUUGAGUUUCUGGGUUUUCCAGAAACUCGAGCAGUGUGAGGGUCCUUACUUUGCAUCCUUAUAUCUUCAAUUCUAGGAAUGUUUUAUGUGAUCUAUGAAUUCAAAAGUGCAUUAGAGGUCAGGGUACAAUAACAUGCUAUCCAUUCAGUCUAACAUCAUAACAAAUGCAAGAUCCAUGCUAGUCAAACUAUGUCAGAAAUUUCGGCUGAUGAAGAUCUGGGUUUUCCAGAAAACCUUCAUGAGCCUUUUCGGUCAACCUAGUUUGACCAUGAUUAUAUAUGAUUCUGUUAUGGAUAUGGGUGAUCUAAAAGCUUUAGUGUGUAGUUAACAUGUCAAGCUGUAAGUAUAUAACAACAACAUGGCCCAAACACUUAACAGUUGCAAGAUCAAGCGCCUGCAAAGUCGUUGUCAGAGAUUUCUGGGUUUCUGGGUUUCUGGGUUACCCAGAAACCAGAUCUCGUGCUCGGUCAACGCAGUUUGACUGCUAAUAACUUUUAAUCUAUACAUGAUCUGGGCUUGAUUCAAGUUCCAGAUCAAAGAUCUUACAACAUACUACAAGUACAACCAUUUAAACAACCAAAAAUAUAAACAGGUAAAGAUCUAUGGGGUCUGACAUUCGGUUGUUAGACCACAUUUUUCCAGUUUUCCAGAUUUUUGAAAUCUUUAAUUUCGAGCAUCUAAGUGUUAUGGAUCUGUGAUAUUAUAACCCAGAUCACUAAUAUAUAAUACAUACUACACAUUUAAACAUAAAAUCACAACAUCAAACAUCAGAUCUAAGGAUUUCUAGAAUUAGGGUUCAUACCUCAUGAAUGCUAAAUUUUUGAAUCUGAUCCUUGAUGUUUGAUCCUGGCAAGCUAACACAUGAUCUUGGCUUAGCUUAUUACUCACUCUCACGCUAAAAUUUUGGAUGGGAGAGAAAGAGAGAAGAGUUGGCUAGGUUGAGAAAUAAAGUGUGUAACUUUUCUAUACUUGAAUGCCUUUAAUCCAUGUUGCAAUGUAUUUAACCUAGCAAGUUGGCUUAUUGAAAUGAUUACUAGACCACAUGGCUAGCUAGAGUUGGUCACCAACUCCUUACUAGGCUAGAUCUACACUCCACCUUAUUAAAAUAUAAAGAAGGGUAGUUUGGUCUUUUGACUCAUAAAGUGCAUGGCAACUUGGUAACUUCUCACAAUUAUUAGGUUUUAACCCUUAGGGUUUAACCCUAAGAUUGUACAAAUUUAUAUUCUAGACUUUUCUAAUUAGGUUCUAAAAAUAGAAAAUUAUAAUCAGGGUUCCCUAAUUAUAAUAAAGUUUAGUAAUCACAUUCAAGCUUUCUAAUUAGGGUUAAGGCUUCCUAAUUAACAUUAAACUUUAUAAAUUAAUAAUUAGGUUUCUCUAAUUGUAUAUUAGGGUUUGCAACAUUAGAAAUUAGGGCUUUCUAAUUAAUUAAUUAGGGUUAUCCCUAAUUAUACUUAUAAUUAAUAACAUAAAAACUUUAUACUUAUCUUCAAGCUUUCCAAUUAGGGUUUUAAUAUUCCAAAUUAGGGUUACGGAUUCUCGAAACUGAAAUUAGGCUUUCCAUAGCCGGUAAUAGGGUUUCUUAUCAGUCAUUAGGGUUUUCUAACUGAACGUCGAGGCUCUUAGUAUAUUAUUAGGAUUUGUGACUGAUAUAAUUUAUCCGGUCAACCCUUGACCCUUAACCACAUACUGUACACAUAUAUAACCAUAUACAUAGAUACUCUUAACACUGUAAACCUUCACCAAAAGUUUUUAAAUUCACAAAAUUCAUUCCUAAAAAUGUUAAAUACAUACACUUAUUUUCUGUCUAGGUCUAUUAUUUAACCUCUAUUCAAUCUUUUAAGAUUUUAUAAAAUUGUCUUUAUUCUCGGGUUGUCACAGGAAGACCACAACAUCAAAUCCAACCCCAGAGAUAAUCUUGGGAGAUCCAGUUUCCAACCCCGGAGAUAACCCCGAGAGAUCAAGUGCAUUGCCCGGAUUUAACUCUAGGAGGUCAAGACAACCUCAGAGAUAACCUUGAGGACAUUCAGAGUCAACAACAUAACAAUCUCAGAGAUAACCUUGAGAAAAGACUACUACAAUUGCGCUAAAAUCAGAGAUAACCCUGCGAGGGGCAAAAUGGUCAUUUUGCCAACUCAAAUUUAACUCAAAUCAAAUACACUCAUUUCAACUCAAAUUUCUUCAAAAGAAGUCCAACAAGAACCAUAUAUUAACUUUCGAGUGCAAACUACACAAAACAACUCAACGAAUUACCUGAUAAAGACCUAGAAAUGCUAUUUCGAUCAUGGACCCAUCUUAUCGGAAUCAAAAAAGGGAAAAUCCUAUGGCAUGGCAUAGCUCUCGGAAAGAUCUUUUCAAAAUGGUGUGACACGCUUUCAUCGGACUCCCAGAUUGAAAGUUAUGAAGGUUCAAGCGAACAACGCGUUGUCCGAGUGCACACACUUCGAGAUGAUGGGACCCACAUUGCCCGGGGCACCCUGGGCAGCCGCAGAUACACCUGUUGCUGUCGCAGGUACACCUGUGGCUCCCCCCUCUAUAAAUAGAGGGCUUGGGGUGGCCAUUUUAAGAAGAGAAAAUGCGAGGAAGCCCUGUCCAAUUUGCUAUGUACACACUAUAAACUGAGUGUUUUCUCAUUUUAAACACUUGUGAGCUUAUAUUGUGCUAUAUUUUACCAGUGGGAACUGAGUGUUCAACAAUUUAAAGCUAUUAAAGUCUUCUUUGGCAGUCCACUGUAAGCCUUGUUACGUUUCUUAAAGCUUUUCUCCACUACUGUGCACACACAGUUAUUCACGUUGAGAGUCGUGUUGUGUGCGUAUGCCCGGACUUCGGUCUAUGGCUUUUUAUUUCUUUUGUAUAUAUAUAUAUAUAUAUGUAUGUACUAACAUUAUCGAGUUAUGCCUUGAUUAAGCCUGGACUCA
Molecule: long non-coding RNA, 8795 nt
Filed under: Panax ginseng (ginseng)
Lineage: Eukaryota; Viridiplantae; Streptophyta; Magnoliopsida; Apiales; Araliaceae
Description: long non-coding RNA (PGIN_LNC001380)
Source: RNAcentral